AUUGAACGCUGGCGGCAGGCUUAACACAUGCAAGUCGAGCGGGGGAAGGUAGCUUGCUACCGGACCUAGCGGCGGACGGGUGAGUAAUGCUUAGGAAUCUGCCUAUUAGUGGGGGACAACAUCUCGAAAGGGAUGCUAAUACCGCAUACGUCCUACGGGAGAAAGCAGGGGAUCUUCGGACCUUGCGCUAAUAGAUGAGCCUAAGUCGGAUUAGCUAGUUGGUGGGGUAAAGGCCUACCAAGGCGACGAUCUGUAGCGGGUCUGAGAGGAUGAUCCGCCACACUGGGACUGAGACACGGCCCAGACUCCGACGGGAGGCAGCAGUGGGGAAUAUUGGACAAUGGGGGGAACCCUGAUCCAGCCAUGCCGCGUGUGUGAAGAAGGCCUUAUGGUUGUAAAGCACUUUAAGCGAGGAGGAGGCUACUUUAGUUAAUACCUAGAGAUAGUGGACGUUACUCGCAGAAUAAGCACCGGCUAACUCCGUGCCAGCCGCCGCCGUAA
RNAcentral lists this ribosomal RNA (501 nucleotides) under uncultured bacterium. RNAcentral describes it as "partial 16S ribosomal RNA". It matches the Rfam family "Bacterial small subunit ribosomal RNA", at positions 30 to 523 of the family's 1533-position model. The record is from RNAcentral.